This 183-nucleotide ribosomal RNA is filed under the name uncultured bacterium. RNAcentral's name for it is "partial 16S ribosomal RNA". It matches the Rfam family "Bacterial small subunit ribosomal RNA", at positions 330 to 509 of the family's 1533-position model. The record is from RNAcentral.
AGAUCUCGCCUACGGAGGCAGCAUAGGGAAUUUUCGUCAAUGGCGCAAGCCUGAACGAGCGAUGCCGCGUGAGUGAAGAAGGCCUUCGGGUCGUAAAGCUCUGUUGCGGGGAAAAAAGGCAGCAUCAGGAAAUGGGUGCUGACUGAUGGUGCCCCGCCAGAAAGUCACGGCUAACUACGUGCC